This 84-nucleotide transfer RNA is filed under the name Chloroflexota bacterium. RNAcentral describes it as "tRNA-Lys". It matches the Rfam family "tRNA". From Rfam's summary of the family: Transfer RNA (tRNA) molecules are approximately 80 nucleotides in length. Their secondary structure includes four short double-helical elements and three loops (D, anti-codon, and T loops). Lineage: Bacteria; Bacillati; Chloroflexota. The record is from RNAcentral.
GGGGACGUGGCAGAGUGGCUGAUUGCAGCCGACUCUUAAUCGGGCAGGCCUCUGAUCUCGCGGGUUCGAAUCCCGCCGUCCCCG